AUUGAACGCUAGCGGGAUGCUUUACACAUGCAAGUCGAACGAGUGGCGGACGGGUGAGUAAUAUAUGGGAACGUGCCCAGUAGCGGGGGAUAACUACUCGAAAGAGUGGCUAAUACCGCAUACUAUUCGAGUGGCCGCUAUCGGAUUUGCUAGUUGGUGGGGUAAAGGCUACCAACGGCAACGAUCCGUAGCUGGUUUGAGAGGACGACCAGCAACACUGGGACGGAGACACGGCCCAGACUCCGCAGGAAGGCAGCAGUGGGGAAUUUUGGACAAUGGGGGAAACCCUGAUGCAGCCAUCCCGCGUGUAUGAGAAGGCCUUCGGGUUGUAAAGUACUUUUGGCAGAGAGGCGGUAUCGGCAGAAUAAGCACCGGCUAACUACGUGCCAGCAGCCGCGGUAAGUC
This 405-nucleotide ribosomal RNA is filed under the name uncultured bacterium. RNAcentral's name for it is "partial 16S ribosomal RNA". It matches the Rfam family "Bacterial small subunit ribosomal RNA", at positions 30 to 526 of the family's 1533-position model. The record is from RNAcentral.